UACGAAGGGGGCGAGCGUUGUUCGGAAUUACUGGGCGUAAAGGGCGCGUAGGCGGCCGAUCAAGUCAGAUGUGAAAGUCCUGGGCUUAACCUGGGGACUGCAUUUGAUACUGAUUGGCUUGAAUGCAGGAGAGGAUAGCGGAAUUCCCAGUGUAGAGGUGAAAUUCGUAGAUAUUGGGAAGAACGCCGGUGGCGAAGGCGGCUAUCUGGACUGUGAUUGACGCUGGAGGCGCGAAAGCGUGGGGAGCAAACAGG
This 254-nucleotide ribosomal RNA is filed under the name uncultured bacterium. Its description in RNAcentral is "partial 16S ribosomal RNA". It matches the Rfam family "Bacterial small subunit ribosomal RNA", at positions 524 to 776 of the family's 1533-position model. The record is from RNAcentral.